Ornithodoros turicata is the source of this 985-nucleotide long non-coding RNA. RefSeq lists it as uncharacterized. Lineage: Eukaryota; Metazoa; Arthropoda; Arachnida; Ixodida; Argasidae. The record is from RefSeq and is a predicted model, not a curated record. The transcript is spliced from 3 exons.
CCUGAUGAGGACCAAAUAGAUUUGAGGAUGGCAGCUACCAUCAGACAGCGAACAGAAGCUGUUGUCAGCCUGCCAGUGGCCACAACCAAAGAAAACUACCCUUACCUGAUGGACACUGCAAGGUUUUUUAACGAAUGCAAGAGGCGGUAUUGGCCCAUUUGAAGAGACUCAGAGUACACCGCAGCGUAUUCGAGAGCUUGCAAUUAACGGCAGAACUUAAUACAAACCAACACCUGCGCAACCUGCUCCUUCCUGAUGGUGGACAGGAGGAUAUAGAGAAAGACGACGAGCACAUCUCCUUGCUAUCCACACCCUUCGAAUCCUGGGACAAUUAAAAAUUAAUUAAGGCCUUCUUCCGCCUAUGAGGCUAGUAUGGGAAUCUCAGACGAGGUCUUGAUCCUACGCAUCCUGCAGGUUGCUUUGGUAGGAGACGCCGCCCGCUGGCUUCGACUGCAGUCGAGGUUCACGUCCUUGCAGGACUUCAAGCAGCGGUUUAAAAACGAAUUCCUUCCCCCGGAUUACGAAUAUCGUAUCCUGGAGGAGCUGCACAAACGUACUCAGCAUCCAGAUGGGACGUUGGCAGGAUUCGUACGGGCCCUGCAAGAGCUGUACAGCAGAGCAGAACCAACUGCAACAGAGCAGCAGCGAGUAGCACGGGCUAUCCGUCAGUGCCACCAACGCUUCCGGCCCUACCUUCGAGCCCAUCGCUUCGAUAGUCUUGAAGCGUUGGCGCAGGAGGCUCGUACCAUACAGGGCGACAUACAGGCCGAACUCGAAUAUCGGCCCCCGCCGCCGCCUGAAUGGGCGUUAGAACCAUGCUGUGCGUGGUCAGCGGGAGCAGCCUCGGUCGAACGCCUACCUGCAGUGGGACAGGAUGAGCACCACCGCAAUCCUUAUGCGGAGCCAUCCCGCCGAGCAAUCGAUCCCUUGCGCCAUGGACAGAGGGCGAUCCCCGCAGGAACGAGCCAUGACAGACCCGUCCUGC